Molecule: ribosomal RNA, 429 nt
Filed under: Chloroflexota bacterium
Lineage: Bacteria; Bacillati; Chloroflexota
Description: Chloroflexi bacterium partial 16S ribosomal RNA
Rfam family: Bacterial small subunit ribosomal RNA
Source: RNAcentral
UGGGGAAUAUUGCACAAUGGGCGCAAGCCUGAUGCAGCCAUGCCGCGUGUGUGAAGAAGGCCUUCGGGUUGUAAAGUACUUUCAGCGGGGAGGAAGGGAGCAAAGUUAAUACCUUUGCUCAUUGACGUUACCCGCAGAAGAAGCACCGGCUAACUCCGUGCCAGCAGCCGCGGUAAUACGGAGGGUGCAAGCGUUAAUCGGAAUUACUGGGCGUAAAGCGCACGCAGGCGGUUUGUUAAGUCAGAUGUGAAAUCCUCGGGCUCAACCUGGGAACUGCAUCUGAUACUGGCAAGCUUGAGUCUCGUAGAGGGGGGUAGAAUUCCAGGUGUAGCGGUGAAAUGCGUAGAGAUCUGGAGGAAUACCGGUGGCGAAGGCGGCCCCCUGGACGAAGACUGACGCUCAGGUGCGAAAGCGUGGGGAGCAAACAGG